UGAUAUACCCUAUCGGCUGAUCCGGUUAGCUUUGGUAGGAACGCACCGAAGUGAUACAGAGUGGACUUCUCCCGAUCCAGGUAGAAUUGGACCACCACACUGCCUGGUCCGAGUUUGGAAUGCCUUCCGACUAAUGUCAGAGGGUAGUCAGGCCACCUGCAUUUCUGACUACCAGGUAAACCAAUUGGGCCAAAGCCCAACUGACAGACUUUCCAAACAAAUGUGAUUUUGUUUCCAGGAAGAAUCGAAACAAAAUGUGAUUUUAUUAGCCAUUUAUACUAAUAGCAAAACAUAACAGGAAUCAUACACCAAUAUGGCAACAUCCUUUAUAUACUAGAAGAACAAAGUUAUAACUUAUCUUAUAACACACAGUUGAACAAACUUUUAGCAGUUGGAAUUUACCUCUUCAUUCCACGGCAUAAGCAGUUGACAAUAAUACCAAUAGAUGAGUGGUUACUCUGGUAAAAACCAGCGUUAAGUUCUCGGUAUUUCAGUACUGGAUUUUUGUAGGACGGAUUUCAAU
This 523-nucleotide small RNA is filed under the name Arabidopsis thaliana (thale cress). RNAcentral describes it as "ATSL078880". The record is from RNAcentral. Lineage: Eukaryota; Viridiplantae; Streptophyta; Magnoliopsida; Brassicales; Brassicaceae.